Molecule: unclassified non-coding RNA, 499 nt
Filed under: uncultured Glomus
Lineage: Eukaryota; Fungi; Glomeromycota; Glomeromycetes; Glomerales; Glomeraceae
Description: SSU rRNA
Rfam family: Eukaryotic small subunit ribosomal RNA
Source: RNAcentral
CCAAUAGCGUAUAUUAAAGUUGUUGCAGUUAAAAAGCUCGUAGUUGAAUUUCGGGAUCGAAUUGUUGGUCGUGCUUCGGUACGCACUGGCAUUAUCGGUUCCUACCUUCUGAAGAACCGCGAUGUCAUUAAUUUGGUGUCGUGGGGAAUCAGGACUGUUACUUUGAAAAAAUUAGAGUGUUUAAAGCAGGCUUACGCUUGAAUACAUUAGCAUGGAAUAAUGAAAUAGGACGUUUGAUUCUAUUUUGUUGGUUUCUAGGAUCGACGUAAUGAUUAAUAGGGAUAGUUGGGGUCAUUAGUAUUCAAUUGUCAGAGGUGAAAUUCUUGGAUUUAUUGAAGACUAACUACUGCGAAAGCAUUUGCCAAGGAUGUUUUCAUUAAUCAAGAACGAAAGUUAGGGGAUCGAAGACGAUCAGAUACCGUCGUAGUCUUAACCAUAAACUAUGCCGACUAGGGAUCGGAUGAUGUUAAUUUUAUAAUGACUCAUUCGGCGCCUUACG